GCCCUUCAAUUAUAUUUAAUUUCAGUUUUUUUUAAUCCGACAACCAACCACUUAGUUAACCAACGAAUGUUAUAUCACGGAUGUUGACAUUCGUCUAAGGCGGUAACACAUAUUGACAUUCGUUCAACAUAGAAGUGAUAUAGAAUGAAUGAAUGAACAAUAUGUUCACAGCAUAGCAACAACAAUAUACAAUACUGGAAACCAAACUUAAGCAAAAUCCAACACCCUCUUCAAUACAGGAAACCAAACUUAAACAAAAUCCAACAACAUACAAAAUCUAACUGUAUGUUCACAACACCUAAACAACAACAACGAAAUACAACUUGGUAUCCAGCCACAAAACAUCCACGAACGAAAGAUACACCCCUCUGCAAACGAACAAGGCACUCCUCUCACUGGAUAGAAGAACCGAAAAUGGAAAAUGAAUUCCAACAGAAGAAGACAAUGAGAAGAAGGAAGGGAAAGAGAGAACGUUGAUCAGAGUGGGGUGGAGUAGUGAAAGAGAGAAUUUUGUGAGGGUGGAGGAGUGAAAGAGAUAAUUUUGAUGUGUGCUGUGGGGUGGAGAAGUGGGGUGUGACUGAUGGAAGAGUAAAAAGGGAAAGUUAAAAGUGAAUUAGGGUUUAGAAAAAAUAAAAUUAAAAGUUAAAUGGUAAAACUAAAAAUUAUUGGGUAUUUUUGAAAUAUAAAAUAAUUGGGGAGGUGUAGAGAAGAGUGUAUGUUAGGAAGUAUGUCAAACGGAUUUGGAAAAAGUAGGAUGGGGGUGGGGGCGGCACCAGAGAGUGAAAAUGAGAUGGGUAUUUUUUUAAUUAAAAUUUUUUUGAGGAAGUUUGAGGAGGUACAAGGAGCAUUGAUGGGGUGGAGGCAGUAACACCCAAAAGUUAGUCAUUUGGGUUAAAACAUGUGAUUCACAAAUGUAUAUGAACACAAACACAAUACAAAUACGAGAUUAGUGCUAUGAAAAUGGGUUGUAAUAUGUGGACUAACUGGGUUCAUUAUGAGUUUGAAUCGGGUUGGAUUUGAAAAAAUGUAAUUUUUGGGUGCUGCUCCCUCCACCACCACAACCUUCUUCAUGGACCUGCCCAAUUUAUUUAUUUUCCACAAAUAUCCUUAAAUUAUUUUUUUUUUUUACUUAUAUCUUUAACUUUUUAUAUUUUUAAUUAAAAACCCUAUUUCUUUAUUCUCAUUUUCUAGCAGCACAGCACACUCGUUCCCCUCUUCUCCUUCUCUUUCUCGUUUCCAUCACCCACCCUCACACCCAUCCCACCCUUUUCUCCUUCUCUUUCAGCAAAAAAAUUGUUAAAAAGGGAAAAUAAUGUGGAAUUUGAAAUAGAGAAAAAGAUAGAGAUACAAUAUGAUUUUGUUCC
Molecule: long non-coding RNA, 1364 nt
Filed under: Vigna radiata
Lineage: Eukaryota; Viridiplantae; Streptophyta; Magnoliopsida; Fabales; Fabaceae
Description: long non-coding RNA (VRAD_LNC007813)
Source: RNAcentral